CUAUGGGGUUAAUGUAAAGUGGCUGUAUAGGGGCCUUAAAAGUAGUCGCUCUAGAGUGCGUAAAAUCUAUAUGUAAUAAGAUUAUGUCGAUGACAAAUGACGUGUUCUAUGUGUAAUAAAAUCUAUCGUGAAAGAGUGAUGCAAUACAGAAAAUAUAUUAGAUGGUGAAAUUACCUGGAGCACCACUGCCUCGCCAGAGCCCUUGAAACACAAGGGCCUAGAGGCAUGUGCUAUAUGAAACAGAUAUCACAGCGGCAUCCUCUAAACAGAGGAGACGCUACGAGUGUGUGGGGCUAAUAACGUGUAAUACAACAUCUUUCAGGAAGCCCAGGACUGCGCUGGAGUCAAACAGCGGUUCUGGGCCUAGUAACAUUACUGGAUGAAGGGGGAUGUGCUGGCGGUAUGCUAAGGGAAAAUGUUUCUUUCUUUCAGAUUCGGCUUUCCGACACUCCAGAAGGACGUGGAGGACGGUCAGCCUCUCCCCGCAUCUACCACAGGUUGGAGGCUCGUUUCCGGUAUCUGUUGUCCACACACUUCUAAGCAGGGAUCCGGAACCAGGCCUGUCUUCCUUGUAAACAAAACACAAGAACUCUUAUGAGGAUUGAUUUUGAAUCCAUUUUUCUCUGCCCACCCUGACACCUUGUUCAAACCAUGCUGUACCUGUCUCUCGCACACUGCGAGGUUACAGGAUUUGAAACCUAUUUGAAUGUCGUCCACAUAGACGGAAUCCAAAAUGGCCGGUGGUAAGGAAGCACGAAGUGUUGUCAUCUUAACAAUAAAGAGUGUGCAACUGAGCACGCCACCCUGGGGUA
RNAcentral lists this long non-coding RNA (812 nucleotides) under Dermacentor andersoni. RNAcentral describes it as "uncharacterized LOC126526444". The record is from RNAcentral. Lineage: Eukaryota; Metazoa; Arthropoda; Arachnida; Ixodida; Ixodidae.